UCCAGACUCCUACGGGAGGCAGCAGUGGGGAAUAUUGCACAAUGGGGGGAACCCUGAUGCAGCAACGCCGCGUGGGUGAAGAAGUACUCCGGUAUGUAAAGCCCUGUCAGCAGGGAAGAAAAUGACGGUACCUGACCAAGAAGCCCCGGCUAACUACGUGCCAGCAGCCGCGGUAAUACGUAGGGGGCAAGCGUUAUCCGGAUUUACUGGGUGUAAAGGGAGCGUAGACGGUUCUGCAAGCCAGAUGUGAAAGCCCGGGGCUCAACCCCGGGACUGCAUUUGGAACUGUAAGGCUAGAGUGUCGGAGAGGCAGGCGGAAUUCCUAGUGUAGCGGUGAAAUGCGCAGAUAUUAGGAGGAACACCAGUGGCGAAGGCGGCCUGCCGGACGAUGACUGACGUUGAGGCUCGAAAGCGUGGGGAGCAAACAGGAUUAGAUACCCCCGUAUA
This 447-nucleotide ribosomal RNA is filed under the name uncultured bacterium. RNAcentral describes it as "bacterial SSU rRNA". It matches the Rfam family "Bacterial small subunit ribosomal RNA", at positions 330 to 794 of the family's 1533-position model. The record is from RNAcentral.